RNAcentral lists this ribosomal RNA (566 nucleotides) under Candida albicans. RNAcentral describes it as "eukaryotic LSU rRNA". It matches the Rfam family "Eukaryotic large subunit ribosomal RNA", at positions 67 to 648 of the family's 3401-position model. Lineage: Eukaryota; Fungi; Ascomycota; Pichiomycetes; Serinales; Debaryomycetaceae. The record is from RNAcentral. RNAcentral also lists the same sequence under 1 other name.
AACAGGGAUUGCCUCAGUAGCGGCGAGUGAAGCGGCAAAAGCUCAAAUUUGAAAUCUGGCGUCUUUGGCGUCCGAGUUGUAAUUUGAAGAAGGUAUCUUUGGGCCCGGCUCUUGUCUAUGUUCCUUGGAACAGGACGUCACAGAGGGUGAGAAUCCCGUGCGAUGAGAUGACCCGGGUCUGUGUAAAGUUCCUUCGACGAGUCGAGUUGUUUGGGAAUGCAGCUCUAAGUGGGUGGUAAAUUCCAUCUAAAGCUAAAUAUUGGCGAGAGACCGAUAGCGAACAAGUACAGUGAUGGAAAGAUGAAAAGAACUUUGAAAAGAGAGUGAAAAAGUACGUGAAAUUGUUGAAAGGGAAGGGCUUGAGAUCAGACUUGGUAUUUUGCAUGCUGCUCUCUCGGGGGCGGCCGCUGCGGUUUACCGGGCCAGCAUCGGUUUGGAGCGGCAGGAUAAUGGCGGAGGAAUGUGGCACGGCUUCUGCUGUGUGUUAUAGCCUCUGACGAUACUGCCAGCCUAGACCGAGGACUGCGGUUUUUACCUAGGAUGUUGGCAUAAUGAUCUUAAGUCGC